CAAUAGCGUAUAUUAAAGUUGUUGCAGUUAAAAAGCUCGUAGUUGGAUUUCGGGGCAGCCUGGCUGGUCCGCCGCAAGGCGAGUACUGGUCAGCCGCCCUUCCUCUCGAAAGCCCCGACUGCUCUUUAUUGCAGUGGUCGGGUAGUUCGGGACGUUUACUUUGAAAAAAUUAGAGUGUUCAAGGCAGGCCUACGCCUGAAUACAUUAGCAUGGAUUAAUGGAAGAGGACCUCGGUCCUAUUUUGUUGGUUUCCAGGACCGAAGUAAUGAUUAAGAGGGACAGUUGGGGGCAUUCGUAUUUAAUUGUCAGAGGUGAAAUUCUCGGAUUUAUGAAAGACGAACAACUGCGAAAGCAUUUGCCAAGGAUGUUUUCAUUAA
Molecule: ribosomal RNA, 377 nt
Filed under: uncultured eukaryote
Lineage: Eukaryota
Description: partial 18S ribosomal RNA
Rfam family: Eukaryotic small subunit ribosomal RNA
Source: RNAcentral